CCUGAUCUAUUGAGGAUAUGUCCAUGUCUUCAUCGUUCGCCUUGUAUGGUUUCUGAUAUGCUGUUAAGUAAAGCACACAUCACAUCUCUUCCUACAUGAUGUGGGUCUAGGAUAUGAACUGAACGUUGACAUUUCUUCAACUGGUCCUCCAAUUCCAGGAAACUUUUAUCACCAGACAGGACAGUAAAAGGAAUUUGCUUGGGAAGCCGCUCAUCUAAACGACCAGCAUGAAUACAUAUGGCAAAGUCGGCAGCAUUUUUAAGAUGAGAGCAGCGAAGGUGAAGGAAAAAACAGCCAGUAUUGUUGAGAUGCUUGAAUAAUUUUCAGUCCAUUGGAGGUUUCCAUGUGCCCUUCCCUCCUUGAAAUCCCCACACAAAUGUUCCCUGGUUUAGGUAUCCUGGUAUUGUAAAAAACUGGGCCCAGUUGUCCAAAUCAAUAAAAACAAUGUGGGUCAUUGUUCCAAGGAAAUCUAAAUCUGGUAAUUCCUGCAGUUUUGGUUUUCCUAUCUUCAUGGCAUCUUUCAGAUUUCUUUUUUCCCGUAGAUCAUCCCUUUUCUCUCUACGAUCUUCUUUUCCUUUGUCCUUUUCAUCCCAGUCUCUUGGACGCUCUCUUUCUCGCUCUCUGCCCCUCUCUCGUUCUCUUUGACGCUCUCUCUCCCGCUCUCUUUCGCGCUCUCUGCGCUCUAAGUCCCGCUCUCUCUCGCUCCCUUUCACGUUGUCGUUCUCUCUCGUGCUCUUCUCGUUCUCGUUCUCUCGCUCGCUCUUCUAGUUCUCUUUCCCACUCUUUUUCUUUUUUCUCUCACGCUCACGAGCUCUCUGACGUUCAGACUUGCGCUCUUUUUCUCUCUCUCUUUCCCUCUGCUUGUAAAGGGUGUAUGUGAUGUCAUAGCUGAGUGUAGGACUUUGCACAGCUGUGGAUUUGCUGUACUGCCUGCAGGAGAUUUAAACAGAUGUUUAAAAAAAAACUGAAAGGUCAGUUGGUUCUAAAAAUAGCACAGAUUUAACAAUAUUGCCUGAUCCGCCCCUUUCCCUAAAGAAAAACACACAAAUAUAUAUAUAUAUAUUUUUUCUAAUUUAAGGCAUCAAGUUCUUGGCAGCACCGAUGACAAACAUGCCUUUUAAUUUUAUAAGGAACCAGGAGCGUUAAAGAUCCAGUCCAAAAAUAAUUUUAUUUCCAGUAGGCUUCUUCUCAUUGCUUCCUUAAUAGCAGUAUCUUCAUCCUGUUCUAUUGAGGUUAUGUCCAUGUCUUCAUCGUGCGCCUUGUAUGGUUUCUGAUAUGCUGUUAAGUAAAGCACACAUCACAUCUCUUCCUACAUGAUGUGGGUCUAGGAUAUGAACUGAACGUUGACAUUUCUUCAACUGGUCCUCCAAUUCCAGGAAACUUUUAUCACCAGACAGGACAGUAAAAGGAAUUUGCUUGGGAAGCCGCUCAUCUAAACGACCAGCAUGAAUACAUAUGGCAAAGUCGGCAGCAUUUUUAAGAUGAGAGCAGCGAGGGUGAAGGAAAGAAAAACAGCCAGUAUUGUUGAGAUGCUUGAAUAAUUUUCAGUCCAUUGGAGGUUUCCAUGUGCCCUUCCCUCCUUGAAAUCCCCACACAAAUGUUCCCUGGUUUAGGUAUCCUGGUAUUGUAAAAAACUGGGCCCAGUUGUCCAAAUCAAUAAAAACAAUGUGGGUCAUUGUUCCAAGGAAAUCUAAAUCUGGUAAUUCCUGCAGUUUUGGUUUUCCUAUCUUCAUGGCAUCUUUCAGAUUUCUUUUUUCCCGUAGAUCAUCCCUUUUCUCUCUACAAUCUUCUUUUCCUUUGUCCUUUUCAUCCCAGUCUCUUGGACACUCUUUUUUUCGCUCUCUGCCCCUCUCUCGUUCUCUUUGACGCUCUCUUUCGCGCUCUCUGCGCUCUAAGUCCCGCUCUCUCUCUCGCUCCCUUUCACAUUGUCGUUCUCUCUCGUUCUCUUCCCCGUUCUCGUUCUCUCGCUCGCUCGCUCUUCUAGUUCUCUUUCCCACUCUUUUUCUUUUUUUCUCUCACGCUCACGAGCUCUCUGACGUUCAGACUUGCGCUCUUUUUCUCUCUCUCUUUCCCUCUGCUUGUAAAGGGUGUAUGUGAUGUCAUAGCUGAGUGUAGGACUUUGCACAGCUGUGGAUUUGCUGUACUGCCUGCAGGAGAUUUAAACAGAUGUUUAAAAAAAAA
This is a long non-coding RNA of Rana temporaria (common frog), 2181 nucleotides long. RefSeq lists it as uncharacterized. The transcript is spliced from 2 exons. The record is from RefSeq and is a predicted model, not a curated record. NCBI's taxonomy places the organism in Eukaryota, Metazoa, Chordata, Amphibia, Anura, Ranidae.